This 1970-nucleotide long non-coding RNA is filed under the name Lynx pardinus (Iberian lynx). Lineage: Eukaryota; Metazoa; Chordata; Mammalia; Carnivora; Felidae. The record is from RNAcentral.
AACUGUAGAAAAAUGGAAUUGACUUUUACUCCUCCAGGUCCAGAAGGAUUCUAAUAACAAACCAUAAGCAAGAGUUGUUUCUGUUGUCUUGUCCACGAACAGAAGCUGAAAAAGCAUAUUGCUUGCAUUUCAGGUGGAUAAUUUAUGGUUUAUUCUUCAGCUUUAAAUUAGACUGAUUAUACUCUAAUUCACUUCAAGGCCUUAAAUUAUCUUCAAUGACUUCUCUUGUUCAUAUAAUACUUUAAUUUUUUUAUUGUGCCUUGUCAUUUUGACUAAGGCUAUGCAGGAUUGCACUAGCUCCAUAAUGCAGUAAUAUUGAUAACUGAAGAUAUUAAGUUUCAAAAGGAUCUUCCAUUAGUUUGAGAAAAGCAAAAUGAAUUUUAUAGGGUUUGUCCUAUGCUAUCUCAAAGUUUAAAACUAGGUUCUUCUUAAAAGCACUCGUAUUGGAAAUUACUGGUAAUGUCUCCAGUCUAAGUCCUAUACAUAUAGGAGAACCUGCUUACCUUCAAAGUAAGUUACGGCAAUACACUGCUUCAAUUCUAAUUUAUUUUUCAUUUCAGGGGGCAAAUAUGCAAUGAGUUGGCCCAAAUUUUUAGUAAAAUUUGGAUGUUUUUCUGUGUGUUGACUGUCCAGCAGACUAAGAGAAGCAUAACAAACCUUUGCUUGUGUUUCUUUGUGGGUUUGUUCAAGUUUACAAUGACUGAGAACUGAUUGAGGUUAAGAUUUCAAUAAAAAGAAAGCAUGUUUUGUGCUGAAUUAAUUUUUUUUAAUUUGUAGUGACCUACAUUUAUAUGAAGAAUUCUGUCCAUGUUGAAAGAAAGGAUGACCAAAUGUAAAUUUAAUGAGUGGGCCAAUUAAGAAAGAUAUAUAUGCACUUUUCAUGUGUAACUUUUGUAUGCUAAAUGGUACAUAUAUUUUUUGUUUGUUUUUGAGGGUAUUAAUAAGGUAUAAUUAAUUGUGUCUUAACUUUUGCAAGAAUUUUUUAAGACUGAGGGAGGCAACUGGGAUGUUUGUGAUAAUAGAUAAGAAAGGUAUUCUUGAUUAUAGUUAAAUUGGUUUGAAUUUCAGAUAUUUAUUAUUGAAUUUACUCUGUCUUAUCCCACUUUGGAGAAGGCAAUUCAACAAUAAAAUUCUGGACACUCUACUCUCCUUCUAAAAAUAGUGAACUGAUAUUUGCAGACUAAAGGAGAGAACCCUUAGAAAUGUGUUAGGCCACACUCUGAACCUUUUCCCCCCUAGCUUUCUCCUUUCUGUUUCAGUUACUGUACUAACAUUGUGGAUGAUACUGAAAUUCUGCAUAAUGUGAACAGGAUAAACUAUUUAUAAACUGCUUUUCAUGGGCCAGUUCUUUAUUAUAAAUGAAUUUAGCUUUAAACACAUACACAUGUUCAGUGUUUGAUAGCUCUGUUCACAGUGAAGGUCUGUCCUGGUGCAUUGUCCCGGAGAAGUAGGAGCAGUGGCAAGUCACUGCAUCUGAUUUCAUGGAAUAGUGACAAUAUGCUUCUUAGGCAAGAUUUAUACUUGACCACAAGGGGAAAAGUGUGUCACUGGAAAAAAAUGCAUAUACCUAUAUAUUCACAUACAUACUUUAUUCUCCAGAUUAAAAUUUGUAUAAUUUGUUUAUUUAGUUUUUGAAUUUAGAACAAAAGGAAAAAAAAGGAGCCUGAGGUUUUAAAAUAGAUUUUAUUUUUGUUAUCUCUUUGUUACAUAUUCACUGAAGCAGUCAGAAUAUAUCAAGAGUGAUUCAUAUUUACAUUGAACAAUCACUAUCAGAUAAGCAUUUGUUAACCACAGCAAACUAGUUUGAAAAGAUCAUAUUUUCAGGUAUCUUCAUUUCUUUCUAUGUAGUUUAAUUGGAAUCUUGUUAAAUUUGAAAUUGGAAGAAUCCCUUGAGAUAGAAGGAUUCUUACAUGUGAUUGAACUUCAUCCUGUGUAAGAAUACUAUAGGAAACAGAAACUCACUUCCUUAA